This 1504-nucleotide long non-coding RNA is filed under the name Sus scrofa (pig). RNAcentral's name for it is "lncRNA (ENSSSCG00060058103.1)". Lineage: Eukaryota; Metazoa; Chordata; Mammalia; Artiodactyla; Suidae. The record is from RNAcentral.
AGCGACACUGAAGGAUGGGGACCCGGUGGGGUCCGGACUCAGGGGUUCGGAGUGGGAAAGCCAGGUUCUUUAGCUGGAUACUUUGAGCAGUUCCCACAACGCACCUUGGAUGACAGAUGGAGAAACUGAGGUCCUACAUUUGAACUGGCUGCUCUGUGCGUUGUGUGUCCAGGCGACAGAGUUGGAGCCCCAAUCCAGAGGCCCUGGGUAUCAUCCCAAAAGCCUGUGCUACGUAUCUGUGGACAACUCCUUCUCCUCGUUUUCUUUCUAGGUAGGUCUUUAUUAAAUCAUAAAGUGAGCAUUCAUCAUCUUGACAGUGAACGAAUUAUAAGCUAAAGGUCUAUCUCUAAAACUUGGCUUCUGUUAAUUCCUCCCCAAGCUCCAUAGAACCAAAUGUCUGAGUUGAACCAUGCGCUCCUCCUCUAGUGGGUGUUUAUUCUGAUAUGCAGCUAUUUUUUUUUUUUUCCGGCAUUUCUUUCUUUGGGCUUACAGGCAGUGCCAUCAACAUAGGUGUUACUUUUCAGGCUAUGUUUUACGUUCACUGAUAUGUCUGCCUUUGUGUCCAGAGUCUGGCUUGAAGCCAUCAUGAUGACGAAAAAAUAAAUGAGCCUCUAGCAAACAAUAUGUAGGCCUCUGUAGGUAUCUGAUGACUUCAUGUCUAUAGAGUGAACAGAAUGAAUCAAAAUUAAGAUCCCUUUUAAGGCCUACCCAGUAAUAUGACUUUGAUCAAAGUCAGGGUCCCACAAAAAGAGCAAAAUUGAUUUGCCAGUUUCAUUGAGGUUCUUUUGCUUUGCCCAAAUCAACUUACGGAGCUGGACUUGGGUGUCUGGAAUGGUGGGAUAAACAAAGAUUCCAGCUUUAGCUGUACUCACUUGGCCUAAAUUUUAAUCAUAAAUCCAUCACUUCAAUAUUUCAUACAAAUAAAAGCAAUUUCCAUUUUGAGUUUUCUCCCACUACCAAGGUCCUCAUAUAGCUCUUACCUCUCCAGCACCACAUUGUAGAAUUUCGAUAUUUGACCCAGAGGAAGCUGGGAAAGAGAAUAGAUAGAUCCUGUUGCCUACAGUCUUUAUUCAACUUGGAUUUGCUUUAGUGGGCAGUGUGAAUCAACACUCAGCUACAUUGCAUGCUACCCAAGAACAUCAUGACUCAAGAGUCACUGGCCAGAAGUCAUUGAACUCGGUUUCAACAACUCCAGAGUCGAGAAUUCAUGGUUUCCAUGUUUGCACCAGCUCUGAAUCAGGAAAUUCACAGAGUAAUACAAGAGUCAGACUCGUGGAGUUCCCAUGUGGCUCAGUGGGUUAAGAACCUGACUAGUAUCCAUGAGGAUGUGGGCUGGAUCCCUGGCCUUUCUCAAUGGGUUAAAGGAUCUGGUGUUGCCAUGAGCUGUGGUGUAGGUUGCAGAUGCAGCUCGGAUCCUGAGUUGCUGUGGCUAUAGUGUAGGCUGGCAGCUGUAACUGUGAUUCAGCCCCUGGCCUGAGAACUUCUGUAUGCUGCAGGUGCAGCC